Molecule: ribosomal RNA, 794 nt
Filed under: uncultured beta proteobacterium
Lineage: Bacteria; Pseudomonadati; Pseudomonadota; Betaproteobacteria
Description: bacterial SSU rRNA
Rfam family: Bacterial small subunit ribosomal RNA
Source: RNAcentral
ACAGGUCUUCGGAUGCUGACGAGUGGCGAACGGGUGCCUUUACAUCGGAACGUGCCCAGUAAUGGGGGAUAGCUCGGCGAAAGCCGGAUUAAUACCGCAUACGCCCUGAGGGGGAAAGUGGGGGACCGCAAGGCCUCACGUUAUUGGAGCGGCCGAUGGCUGAUUAGCUAGUUGGUAGGGUAAAGGCCUACCAAGGCGACGAUCAGUAGCUGGUCUGAGAGGACGAUCAGCCACACUGGGACUGAGACACGGCCCAGACUCCUACGGGAGGCAGCAGUGGGAAUUUUGGACAAUGGGGGAAACCCUGAUCCAGCAAUGCCGCGUGUGCGAAGAAGGCCUUCGGGUUGUAAAGCACUUUUGUCAGGGAAGAAAUCCUUUGGGCUAAUACCCUAGGGGGAUGACGGUACCUGAAGAAUAAGCACCGGCUAACUACGUGCCAGCAGCCGCGGUAAUACGUAGGGUGCAAGCGUUAAUCGGAAUUACUGGGCUUAAAGCGUGCGCAGGCGGUUGUGUAAAACAGGUGUGAAAUCCCCGGGCUUAACCUGGGAAUUGCAUUUGUGACUGCACAACUAGAGUGUGUCAGAGGGGGGUGGAAUCCACGUGUAGCAGUGAAAUGCGUAGAUAUGUGGAGGAACACCAAUGGCGAAGGCACCCCCCUGGGAUAACACUGACGCUCAUGCACGAAAGCGUGGGGAGCAAACAGGAUUAGAUACCCCGGUAGCCCCCCCCCUAAACGAUGUCAACUAGUUGGUGGGGAAUUUACUUCCUUGGUAACGUAGCUAACCCGUGAAGUU